ACCUGGUUGAUUCUGCCAGUAGUCAUACGCUCGUCUCAAAGAUUAAGCCAUGCAUGUGUAAGUAUAAAUCUUGUACUUUGAAACUGCGAAUGGCUCAAUAUAUCAGUUGUAAUCUCUUCCGUAUUCCCUUACUACUUGGAUAACCGUAGUAAUUCUAGAGCUAAUACAUGCAGGAAGUCCCGACUUCGGAAGGGAUGUAUUUAUUAGAUAAGAAACCAAUCCGGCUUGCCGGUUGCGUGCUGAGUCACAAUAACUGCUCGAAUCGCAUGGCCUUGCGCCGGCGAUGGUUCAUUCAAAUUUCUGCCCUAUCAGCUUUCGAUGGUAGGAUCGAGGCCUACCAUGGCGUUAACGGGUAACGGAGAAUUAGGGUUCGAUUCCGGAGAGGGAGCCUGAGAAACGGCUACCACAUCCAAGGAAGGCAGCAGGCGCGUAAAUUGCCCGAAUCCUGACACAGGGAGGUAGUGACAAGAAAUAACAAUACAGGGCUAUUUUAGUCUUGUAAUUGGAAUGAGUACAAUUUAAA
This 523-nucleotide ribosomal RNA is filed under the name Thalassiosira minuscula. RNAcentral's name for it is "partial Eukaryotic small subunit ribosomal RNA". It matches the Rfam family "Eukaryotic small subunit ribosomal RNA", at positions 1 to 529 of the family's 1831-position model. Lineage: Eukaryota; Bacillariophyta; Thalassiosirophyceae; Thalassiosirales; Thalassiosiraceae. The record is from RNAcentral.